CCUACGGGAGGCUGCAGUGAGGAAUAUUGGUCAAUGGACGAGAGUCUGAACCAGCCAAGUAGCGUGAAGGAUGACUGCCCUAUGGGUUGUAAACUUCUUUUAUAUGGGAAUAAAAUGUUCCACGUGUGGGAUUUUGUAUGUACCAUAUGAAUAAGGAUCGGCUAACUCCGUGACAGCAGCCGCGGUAAUACGGAGGAUCCGAGCGUUAUCCGGAUUUAUUGGGUUUAAAGGGAGCGUAGGUGGAUUGUUAAGUCAGUUGUGAAAGUUUGCGGCUUAACCGUAAAAUUGCAGUUGAAACUGGCAGUCUUGAGUACAGUAGAGGUGGGCUGAAUUCGUGGUGUAGCGGUGACAUGCUUAGAUAUCACGAAGAACUCCGAUUGCGAAGGCAGCUCACUGGACUGCAACUGACACUGAGGCUCGAAAGUGUGGGUAUCAAACAGGAUUAGAUACCCUAGUAGUC
Molecule: ribosomal RNA, 460 nt
Filed under: uncultured bacterium
Lineage: Bacteria
Description: partial 16S ribosomal RNA
Rfam family: Bacterial small subunit ribosomal RNA
Source: RNAcentral